UACAGAGGUCUCGAGCGUUAGGCGGAAUCACUGGGCUUAAAGCGCGUGUAGGCGGAUCGUUAAGUACCUUGUGAAAUCCCACGGCUUAACCGUGGAACUGCUGGGUAUACUGGCGGACUUGAGCCACCUAGGGGCCUGCGGAACAAGCGGUGGAGCGGUGAAAUGCGUAGAUAUCGGAAGGAACGCCGGUGGCGAAAGCGACGUGCUGGACCUUUUCUGACGCUGAGGCGCGAAAGCCAGGGGAGCAAACGGG
RNAcentral lists this ribosomal RNA (253 nucleotides) under uncultured bacterium. Its description in RNAcentral is "partial 16S ribosomal RNA". It matches the Rfam family "Bacterial small subunit ribosomal RNA", at positions 524 to 776 of the family's 1533-position model. The record is from RNAcentral.